UAGGCAGCAGUGGGGAAUAUUGGACAAUGGGCGAAAGCCUGAUCCAGCAAUGCCGCGUGAGUGAUGAAGGCCUUAGGGUUGUAAAGCUCUUUUACCAGGGAUGAUAAUGACGGUACCUGGAGAAUAAGCUCCGGCUAACUCCGUGCCAGCAGCCGCGGUAAUACGGAGGGAGCUAGCGUUGUUCGGAAUUACUGGGCGUAAGCGCGCGUAGGCGGCUACUCAAGUCAGAUGUUGAAGCCCGGGGCUCACCCCCGGAACUGCCUUUGAAACUAGGUAGCUA
This 280-nucleotide ribosomal RNA is filed under the name uncultured bacterium. RNAcentral describes it as "partial 16S ribosomal RNA". It matches the Rfam family "Bacterial small subunit ribosomal RNA", at positions 345 to 643 of the family's 1533-position model. The record is from RNAcentral.